Molecule: ribosomal RNA, 381 nt
Filed under: uncultured fungus
Lineage: Eukaryota; Fungi
Description: bacterial SSU rRNA
Rfam family: Eukaryotic small subunit ribosomal RNA
Source: RNAcentral
UCUCGAUUCUAUUUCGUUGGCUUUCGGAGUCGAGGUAAUGAUUAAUAGGGAUAGACGGGGGCAUUCGUACUGCGACGUUAGAGGUGAAAUUCUUGGAUCGUCGCAAGACGAACUACUGCGAAAGCAUUUGCCAAGAAUGUUUUCAUUAAUCAAGAACGAAAGUUAGGGGAUCGAAGACGAUCAGAUACCGUCGUAGUCUUAACCAUAAACUAUGCCGACUAGGAAUCGGGCGACGUUAUUCUCAUGACUCGCUCGGCGCCUUAUGGGAAACCAAAGUUUUUGGGUUCCGGGGGGAGUAUGGUCGCAAGGCUGAAACUUAAAGGAAUUGACGGAAGGGCACCACCAGGGGUGGAGCCUGCGGCUUAAUUUGACUCAACACGG